RNAcentral lists this ribosomal RNA (504 nucleotides) under uncultured Actinomycetes bacterium. Its description in RNAcentral is "bacterial SSU rRNA". It matches the Rfam family "Bacterial small subunit ribosomal RNA", at positions 8 to 522 of the family's 1533-position model. Lineage: Bacteria; Bacillati; Actinomycetota; Actinomycetes. The record is from RNAcentral.
AGAGUUUGAUCCUGGCUCAGGACGAACGCUGGCGGCGUGCUUCAUACAUGCAAGUCGAACGAGGUCCAUCGAGUGGCAACACUCGUGAAGACCUAGUGGCGAACGGGUGAGUAACACGUGAGGAACCUGCCCCGAUCUCUGGGAUAACAGUGGGAAACCGCUGCUAAUACCAGAUGGGCUCGGAUGACGACAUCGUCGACCGAGGAAAGCUUUUGCGGACCGGGAGGGCCUCGCGGCCUAUCAGCUUGUUGGUGGGGUAACGGCCUACCAAGGCAUCGACGGGUAGCUGGUCUGAGAGGACGUCCAGCCACACUGGGACUGAGACACGGCCCAGACUCCUACGGGAGGCAGCAGUAGGGAAUCUUGCGCAAUGGGCGAAAGCCUGACGCAGCAACGCCGCGUGGGGGAUGAAGGCCCUCGGGUUGUAAACCCCUUUCAGCAGGAACGAAUCUGACGGUACCUGCAGAAGAAGGUCCGGCCAACUACGUGCCAGCAGCCGCGGUA